This 253-nucleotide ribosomal RNA is filed under the name uncultured bacterium. Its description in RNAcentral is "partial 16S ribosomal RNA". It matches the Rfam family "Bacterial small subunit ribosomal RNA", at positions 524 to 776 of the family's 1533-position model. The record is from RNAcentral.
UACAGAGGUCUCAAGCGUUGUUCGGAUUCAUUGGGCGUAAAGGGUGUGUAGGUGGCGCGCUAAGUCGGGUGUGAAAUUUCGGAGCUUAACUCCGAAACUGCAUUCGAUACUGGCGUGCUUGAGGACUGGAGAGGAGACUGGAAUUCAUGGUGUAGCAGUGAAAUGCGUAGAGAUCGUGAGGAAGACCAGUGGCGAAGGCGGGUCUCUGGACAGUUACUGACACUGAGACACGAAGGCCAGGGGAGCAAACGGG